AUAUCAAUAAGCGGAGGAAAAGAAACCAACAGGGAUUGCCCUAGUAACGGCGAGUGAAGCGGCAACAGCUCAAAUUUGAAAUCUGGCUUCGGCCCGAGUUGUAAUUUGCAGAGGAAGCUUUGGGCGCGGCACCAACUGAGUCCCCUGGAACGGGGCGCCAUAGAGGGUGAGAGCCCCGUAUAGUUGGACGCCUAGCCUGUGUAAAGCUCCUUCGACGAGUCGAGUAGUUUGGGAAUGCUGCUCAAAAUGGGAGGUAAAUUUCUUCUAAAGCUAAAUACCGGCCAGAGACCGAUAGCGCACAAGUAGAGUGAUCGAAAGAUGAAAAGCACUUUGAAAAGAGGGUUAAAUAGCACGUGAAAUUGUUGAAAGGGAAGCGCUUGCAGCCAGACUUGCUUGCAGUUGCUCAUCCGGGCUUUUGCCCGGUGCACUCUUCUGCAGGCAGGCCAGCAUCAGUUUGGGCGGUAGGAUAAAGGUCUCUGUCACGUACCUCUCUUCGGGGAGGCCUUAUAGGGGAGGCGACAUACUACCAGCCUGGACUGAGGUCCGCGCAUCUGCUAGGAUGCUGGCGUAAUGGCUGUAAGCGG
RNAcentral lists this ribosomal RNA (584 nucleotides) under uncultured fungus. Its description in RNAcentral is "eukaryotic LSU rRNA". It matches the Rfam family "Eukaryotic large subunit ribosomal RNA", at positions 40 to 647 of the family's 3401-position model. The record is from RNAcentral. Lineage: Eukaryota; Fungi.